RNAcentral lists this transfer RNA (87 nucleotides) under Flavobacteriales bacterium. RNAcentral describes it as "tRNA-Tyr". Lineage: Bacteria; Pseudomonadati; Bacteroidota; Flavobacteriia; Flavobacteriales. The record is from RNAcentral.
CAUCCGGUAGCUCAGGGGAAAGCCGCAAGGCAAGAGCGACGGCCGUAGGGCCGGAGGUCGCGGGUUCGAGUCCCGCCCGGAUGCCCA